GCGAACGGGUGAGUAACACGUGGGCAAUCUGCCCUUCACUCUGGGACAAGCCCUGGAAACGGGGUCUAAUACCGGAUACGACACGGGGUCGCAUGACCUCCGUGUGGAAAGCUCCGGCGGUGAAGGAUGAGCCCGCGGCCUAUCAGCUUGUUGGUGGGGUGAUGGCCUACCAAGGCGACGACGGGUAGCCGGCCUGAGAGGGCGACCGGCCACACUGGGACUGAGACACGGCCCACACUCCUACGGGAGGCAGCAGUGGGGAAUAUUGCACAAUGGGCGAAAGCCUGAUGCAGCGACGCCGCGUGAGGGAUGACGGCCUUCGGGUUGUAAACCUCUUUCACCAGGGAAGAAACGAAAGUGACGGUACCUGCAGAAAAAACGCCGGCUAACUACGUGCCAGCAGCCGCGGUAAUACGUAGGGCGCAAGCGUUGUCCGGAAUUAUUGGGCGUAAAGAGCUCGUAGGCGGCUUGUCGCGUCGGAUGUGAAAGCCCGGGGCUUAACCCCGGGUCUGCAUUCGAUACGGGCAGGCUAGAGUUCGGUAGGGGAGAUCGGAAUUCCUGGUGUAGCGGUGAAAUGCGCAGAUAUCAGGAGGAACACCGGUGGCGAAGGCGGAUCUCUGGGCCGAUACUGACGCUGAGGAGCGAAAGCGUGGGGGAGCGAACAGGAUUAGAUACCCUGGUAGUCCACGCCGUAAACGUUGGGAACUAUGUGUGGGCGACAUUCCACGUCGUCCGUGCCGCAGCUAACGCAUUAAGUUCCCCGCCUGGGGAGUA
This 774-nucleotide ribosomal RNA is filed under the name Actinomycetales bacterium TLI113. RNAcentral describes it as "bacterial SSU rRNA". It matches the Rfam family "Bacterial small subunit ribosomal RNA", at positions 98 to 882 of the family's 1533-position model. The record is from RNAcentral. Lineage: Bacteria; Bacillati; Actinomycetota; Actinomycetes; Actinomycetales.